GAUCCUGGCUCAGGAUGAACGCUGGCGGCGUGCCUAACACAUGCAAGUCGAACGAGGUAAAUGAGGUGAAGUUUUCGGAUGGAUUCUUAUUUACCGAGUGGCGGACGGGUGAGUAACGCGUGGGUAACCUGCCUCAUACAGGGGGGAUAACGAUUGGAAACGAUUGCUAAUACCGCAUAAGCGCACAGUACCACAUGGUGCAGUGUGAAAAACUCCGGUGGUAUGAGAUGGACCCGCAU
Molecule: ribosomal RNA, 239 nt
Filed under: uncultured bacterium
Lineage: Bacteria
Description: partial 16S ribosomal RNA
Rfam family: Bacterial small subunit ribosomal RNA
Source: RNAcentral